RNAcentral lists this long non-coding RNA (201 nucleotides) under Mytilus galloprovincialis (Mediterranean mussel). The record is from RNAcentral. Lineage: Eukaryota; Metazoa; Mollusca; Bivalvia; Mytilida; Mytilidae.
UUAUAACACAGGUUUUCACUUAAUACAGUUGGUCUCUUAAGCAGGUUUGACUGUAACUUGCCAGCAGAUUUUUUUUUAAACAGCAAAUCUAAGUCAAGGAUAAUAUAAGAAUAAAAUUCUUCUUGAAUUACUGAGAACACCUGACUAUUUACUAAUUAGCUUAGUUAGUUCACAAAGGAACUUAACAAAAGUCAGAUAGCC